RNAcentral lists this unclassified non-coding RNA (2421 nucleotides) under Cyanidioschyzon merolae strain 10D. RNAcentral's name for it is "hypothetical transcript". Lineage: Eukaryota; Rhodophyta; Bangiophyceae; Cyanidiales; Cyanidiaceae. The record is from RNAcentral.
AACGGGUAUACUGCACUGAGAAGACAGGAAUGGUUUCCGGAACUGUUGGUUCAGCUGGUGCCACGGCGUCGUAUACGAGUCUUUUGAACUUUGCGCGAGUGGGUGCAGUUUUUAUCGGCUAUUUGGCUGGUAGUUCUAUGAACGCGCAGCGGGAGCGCAACGCGCGGAGGAAGCUCGAGGCGGAGCUUCAGCGUCAGGCAGCUGAGCUGCAGGCUUUACGGGAACAGCUGUCCAGGUCCGAAGACCGAGCCGCGUCGACGGGAGACCCUGUUCAGGACUGGAUUCAGUCUUUGAGCUCGUCAUGAGGCCGAGGCACGCACCGCGCUGUCGCAGCGCUUCGCGUGUCGUGCCUGCCUCUCGUUAACGGUAACGCCAGCCCGGUGCUCUCGUGCGGCGUUGACGCAGCCUACUUUUCUCCUGCCCUCUGCUGGGGAUUGAUUCCGACGAGUUGGCAACACUUUUCUUCUACUUUCUCCAGGCGCUCACACAGUCUCUCUAACCUGCUGUCGAUCUUGGUCAAAAGUUCCUCAGCACGGCUUUGGAAAGCUUCGACAUGCUCUUCGUACUGGGCGAGCUGGUAUCGUGCGGCCUCGCGUUUCUUCCAGACUCGCAUCUAGCGUAUCGUUUGGUCUUGAGCUUGCAAGCCCCCGAGAGCCGACUUGUUCGCGAGGUUUCCGAGCGCUGCGCCUCUCGCCCCGAUCCAAGCGAUGGAGUCGCAAGGACGCAGCUGCAGCUGGAGCUGCGCAUAUCCGAUCUUCGGCGUCGCAUGGCCGAUGGCGCGCUCGUUUUCAGUGCGCGGGACGUUUUCGUGCGUCUGGCGGGAAAAGUGGAAGGCUGCGGCCCCAGCAGCGCCAUGGGCGAAGGGGCGGUCGUUCCACUGGUCGUGUCCCAGCCGCGUGACAGAGGCCUUGGAUCGGAGCCGGCGGUGUCAGGAAGUCAGUCACGCUGCCGUCUCGCAGCGGUAUGAAUGACGGUGCACGUUGGCACGAGAUGCGGAGAGAGAUUCGCUGCUCGGUCGUAUGAGGUGUCCAAAAAGUUGCAGGAUGUAUUUUUAGGGAAAGUGAUGAACGAUACGCAUCACAGUUUGGAACGUACACUGCUGCCGCCCAUCUGACGUUUGAGGUGCCUCUCGUAUUCGUUUCAGACGGGUUAUAGCGAGGAGCGCGUCAACAUCGGCAAUAUGCGGUUGGAUGGGCGUGUGCGAAGCAUCGGAUUCAGCCAGACGACUUGAGAAUCUCUGCAGUUGUCGUGUGGAUUCUGUGAGAGAGCGCCAAGCGUGCACCGUCUUGGAUCCACCGUCUCAUGUUGCCGGAUGACAGCGCGCUCACUCGGCGCUUAACGAAGCGAGCAAAUGAGCGAGAGCAUCGCUUGGAGCACAGCUUGCUGAUGGCGUGCUGUGCUGCUCAUCGGAGACAGGUCUCGGAAGCAGACCGCGCAAAGUACGAACAUGCUUGGUGGUAAACCCCCGUAUAACCCAAGGCACGGUGCCGCAAAGCUGCCUUCGUAUAUCUGGAAGAUUUCCGGUGGGUCCAUCUUUGGCCUCGAAUCACGCUGAUCGGCUUUUGUAACAGGACGCUCGUGCGAACCAGACCACAACCCGAUUCAAGGUAUCACCAGGAACGACACCAGCGCACGGGCGCUGGGUUUAUGCAUAUCUGCUUUCGGGGCAGUGCGCACUCGCCACCUGCACCCUAGGCUGUUCGCGUAUGCGGCUAGCCAUGCGCACCAGUGCACGUGCAAAACCUGAAUACGCUCGGCGUACGAACCGAGCACAGAUCACGAAACCCUCUCUCUGUCUCUCCUUGGCUGUUCAUGUGUUCAUGUAGUUGCUCGGCUCUUGCACGCUACCGAUCCAGUCAGUGAAACGCAUGACCCGCUUCUCGUUUCUUUGCUCGGCGCUCAGGAGCGAGCUCGUCUGGAUCCGUUCAAACUUUUGGAUGUGCUGCUUCGCCACCGACCGCUCCAGGCUUGCGGACGCGGCCGCUGCGUCUUCAUGGGGACUCUUCUGGGUCAACCGGAGCGGUGUUGGCUUCGUGCGUUGCGCACUGGGCACGUCGGGCGUCGCACUGGGCGCUUCGGCAGGCACCGCACGCGACGACGUAUUCCCGAUAUUCUCCUUUCCGGUUGAGACGUCGCUGUCGUUCUGUUUUCUCGCAGUGGAUUCAAACGAGUGUCCGUUCAAUCGUUUCUCCAGCAAAUCACGUUCGAGUUGCACGAGAUCCAGCUGUUCUUGCACUGCCCGCAGCUUUGACAAGAUGUCCGCAUACGCCUCCGUCUCGUGUGCGGCGUUGUUCCGGCGCUGCGUCUGGACGAGUUCCUCGCGGAGGCGCUCGAGAACACCCUCCUGUUCCUCGCGAUCUUUUUCCAAACAAGCAAUUCGAAGGCUUUUUCGGUCUGUUUCCUCUUCUAAAGCGCGAAUCU